UUAGAAAGACGGGACUUGAACCCGCACUUAGAGACUCAAAACCUCUAGUACUCCAAUAUACUACCUCCUA
This 70-nucleotide transfer RNA is filed under the name Urostrophus gallardoi. RNAcentral describes it as "tRNA-Gln". Lineage: Eukaryota; Metazoa; Chordata; Lepidosauria; Squamata; Leiosauridae. The record is from RNAcentral.